This 269-nucleotide ribosomal RNA is filed under the name uncultured bacterium. RNAcentral's name for it is "partial 16S ribosomal RNA". It matches the Rfam family "Bacterial small subunit ribosomal RNA", at positions 524 to 794 of the family's 1533-position model. The record is from RNAcentral.
UACGGGGGGAGCAAGCGUUGUUCAGAUUUACUGGGCGUAAAGGGCGCGUAGGCGGCACGACAAGUCGCUUGUGAAAUCUCCGGGCUUAACUCGGAGCGGCCAAGCGAUACUGUCGCGCUAGAGUGCGGAAGGGGCAACUGGAAUUCUCGGUGUAGCGGUGAAAUGCGUAGAUAUCGAGAGGAACACCUGCGGCGAAGGCGGGUUGCUGGGCCGACACUGACGCUGAGGCGCGAAAGCUAGGGGAGCGAACGGGAUUAGAAACCCGUUGU